UGAGUAACGCGUGGGAACGUACCCUUCACUACGGAAUAGCUUCUGGAAACGGAAGGUAAUACCGUAUACGCCCUCCGGGGGAAAGAUUUAUCGGUGAAGGAUCGGCCCGCGUUAGAUUAGUUUGUUGGUGGGGUAAUGGCCUACCAAGACUACGAUCUAUAGCUGGUCUGAGAGGAUGAUCAGCCACACUGGGACUGAGACACGGCCCAGACUCCUACGGGAGGCAGCAGUGGGGAAUCUUGCACAAUGGGCGAAAGCCUGAUGCAGCCAUGCCGCGUGAAUGAUGAAGGCCUUAGGGUUGUAAAAUUCUUUCGCCAGGGAUGAUAAUGACAGUACCUGGUAAAGAAGCCCCGGCUAACUUCGUGCCAGCAGCCGCGGUAAUACGAAGGGGGCUAGCGUUGUUCGGAAUUACUGGGCGUAAAGCGCGCGUAGGCGGGCUAUUAAGCCAGAUGUGAAAGCCCGGGGCUCAACCUCGGAAUUGCAUUUGGAACUGGUAGCCUAGAGACCAGGAGAGGUUAGCGGAAUACCGAGUGUAGAGGUGAAAUUCGUAGAUAUUCGGUGGAACACCAGUGGCGAAGGCGGCUAACUGGACUGGUACUGACGCUGAGGCGCGAAAGUGUGGGGAGCAAACAGGAUUAGAUACCCUGGUAGUCCACACCG
RNAcentral lists this ribosomal RNA (660 nucleotides) under Henriciella algicola. Its description in RNAcentral is "bacterial SSU rRNA". It matches the Rfam family "Bacterial small subunit ribosomal RNA", at positions 107 to 802 of the family's 1533-position model. Lineage: Bacteria; Pseudomonadati; Pseudomonadota; Alphaproteobacteria; Hyphomonadales; Hyphomonadaceae. The record is from RNAcentral.